AUAGUCCUUAAAGGGGAGUAGCUUGUUCAGCAAAGUCGUCAUGACGGGAAAAUUCCCCGGCUUUGCUGGCAACAACUGUUGUUAGCGAGACCUUUACCGCAUGC
Molecule: unclassified non-coding RNA, 104 nt
Filed under: Bacillus sp. B-jedd
Lineage: Bacteria; Bacillati; Bacillota; Bacilli; Caryophanales; Bacillaceae
Description: yybP-ykoY
Source: RNAcentral